This 253-nucleotide ribosomal RNA is filed under the name uncultured bacterium. Its description in RNAcentral is "partial 16S ribosomal RNA". It matches the Rfam family "Bacterial small subunit ribosomal RNA", at positions 524 to 776 of the family's 1533-position model. The record is from RNAcentral.
UACGUAGGUGGCAAGCGUUGUCCGGAUUUAUUGGGUUUAAAGGGUGCGUAGGCGGUUCUAUAAGUCAGUGGUGAAAUACGGCAGCUCAACUGUCGAGGUGCCAUUGAUACUGUAGAACUUGAGUACAGACGAGGUAGGCGGAAUUGACGGUGUAGCGGUGAAAUGCUUAGAUAUCGUCAAGAACACCGAUAGCGAAGGCAGCUUACUAGACUGUAACUGACGCUGAGGCACGAAAGUGUGGGGAUCAAACAGG